AUUAUUUGGAUGCAAAUAGGAAAAAAUAUGGUUGAAACUCAGAAGUUAGUUUAUGUUAUACUUUUAUUUCUUUCUAUAUUUCUUUUCACUAACUCUCCUUUGAGUCAGAUUAUUUUUAGUGAAUGUAAAACAGAUAAAGAUUGUCCAAAAUAUCAGAGAGCUAAUAUUAGGUGUCGUAAAGGCCAAUGUGUAAGGAUCUAAAACAACCUAAUGAGAUAAAUGAGUUCUUUCUCUAGCAAGAGAAUUGUACAAUAUUCCCUAUGCUAGAAUAUUCCACUUGUUGUCAUUUAGUUUUUGUUCAUGCACUCAAUAAUUAUUAUUUUCUUCUUAUGUUUUUCCCUAGUUUCAAGUUAUGAAUUUGUAUUCUAAGAUGAUGGAAAUGAAAUAAGGCAGCAAAGAGUUUUAUCUAUAGGAUCUCCUUAUCUCGUAAAUUUGGUGGUAUCACCAUGACUUGCAAUCCAGACACAUCACACCUAUAAUAAUAAGUUUAAUAGUUAUGUUGAAAUUGGUGAAGUACAUUGAAAAUAACACAAAUUCAACAUCGUCAAAAUUGAAAUUGAAGACUUUAUUCACUUUUAGGUAUAAUGUAGGUAGAAAAAAGUUAAAAAAAGGUUAGUUUUUAAGUGUGUUUUUUAGAUUUAAGUCAAAACCAUUUUGUCUAAAAUCGAAAACUAUACUUUGUUUAAACAAAAUUUUGAAACAUGAUGACAAAUCUGGCAAGUGCACCAACUGCUUAAGUAAUUUAGUAUCAAGAUUAUCGUCUCCACAAGGAUUAUUUUGUGACGAGAAUGUUCUAUUAGAGACAUGAAAAACCUUCCUCAAUCUCAAAAUUGCUCUGUUUGAUUUUUAUUCUUCCAAAUCAUAUAUUGAAUGGUGAUGUAAAACUCUUGGAUCAUCCUAAGUAUUUUACGAUAGAAUAUCCAUGCAUAUGAUAAUGAAGUUUCAUCUUUGAUAAUUCUCCAAUUAAUAUUAUUAAUGAAUAACUUUAUGAAUAAUUUAAUAUUUAUGAAUUGGUUUCUCUUAAAAAUUGAACCUAAUCAUAUAGAUGAAAUAAUGAGAAUAAUUUCGAGUGUAAUAACCAUCUUCAUCAUGAGAACAUUCUUCCAUCAGAGUUGAUAAUUUUCUCUUCUAUUUGAGACGACAAUAUCUUACUGGUCAAUUAACCUUAAAUCAUGUGGCUUUAGGAGUUGUCAUGUGACUUUAGAAGUAAUCAUGUGUAGCUUUCAACUAUUAACCUCUUAUUCCUUGAAUCUUUAAGGAUUUUUUGAAAAUCAUGUGGUGAGGAGAAUGAAUCAAUUAAUCAUUAAUCUCAUCAGCUUUUUGAAUCUUUAAUCGACACUCUUUUCAUUCAAACAAUAUUCGUUCAAUAUCUUCUUUGAGCUUGUGAACUAUGAUGCUACUAUUUCCGUAUUCUUAUAUUGAGUAGAUACAUGUACUUACAAAAUAAUUUAUUAAGAAGGUUAUUUUUGGAGUUUAGCGAGAAUAAUUUUUUUUAAAAAGUUACUAGUGAGUUGGAAUAAUUAUUUAGAGAUGGUAAUUAUUCGAUAUUUUAACGGUUUAAGUGAGUAGUAACUUUUGAGAAUUGGUUAGUAAGGAUGUUGAGCCCAUUAUGACAAUUGAAAACCUAUCCCAAUUAAGAGGUGACUAUAUAAGCAUAACUCUUAUGAUCAUAGCGUACGUUCUACUUGUUCAUAAAUAUCCAAUGGUGAUUUAUAUUCGUACAUAACUUUAUGAUGAUAUAAUUGUUUUUCCCUUUACUCUCACGAAAUGUUAAGAAAACAAUACAAUUAUUUACAGGAAAAAGUAAUCUAAAGUGUGUAAAAUUGUAUUCAGUUAUAUUGAUUAUUAUUUUUAUUACUUGAACUCCUUCCUAAGUGUGUUAAAGAGACAAAAAUAAUAUAGUGAUAUAUUUAAGAGACAUCUAGUAAUAAUUUUAAAAUUCUGAAAGGGCUUUUCAAAUUUUAUAAUGUUUAAACUAUUUAAUUAUUUCUCUAAGACCAUGAACUUUACUGUACACUAUAAAGAGAUCGAGUCAUUUACUAUUAUUUGGAUGCAAAUAGGAAAAAAUAUGGUUGAAAUUCCGAAGUUAGUUUAUGUUAUAAUUUUACUUUUUUCUAUAUUUCUUUGUAUAUCAAUAUCUAUUUUUUCUUGUAAAACUGAUAAAGAUUGUCCAAAACUUUGAGGAGUUAAUGUUAGGUGUCGUAAAGGUGCAUGCAUAUCGAUCUAAAACAUCAUAAUGAGAUAAUGAGUUCUCUUUAUCUAGCAAGAGAAUUGUACACUAUACCUUAUGCUAGAAUAUUCUACUUGUUGUCAUUUAGUUUUUGUGCAUGCACUCAAUAAUUAUUAUUUUCUUCUUCUAUUUUCCCCUAAUUUCAAGGACCUUUAAGUUAUGACUUUGUAAUAUAAGAUGAAGGAAAUAAAAUAAGACGUCAAAGUUUUAUUUAUAGGAUAUCUUUAUCUCAUAAAUUUGGAGGUAUCACUACCAUGGCAUGCAAUCCAGACACAUCACACCUAUAAUAAUGAGUUUAAUAGUUAUGUUGAAAUUGGUAAAGUACUUUGAAAAUAACACAAAUUUAACAUCACCAAAAUUGAAAUAUAAGACUUUGUCCAAUUUUAAUGUAUGAUUUAAUCUUUUUGCAUGAAUCAAAUAGAAGAUAAUUUUAUCUCUUUACAGUGUAUAAUGUAGGUACAAAAAAGUUAAAAAAAUCUUAGUUUUUAAUUGUGUUUACUGUUUUAAGUCAAUUCACUUUGUCUAAAAUUGAAAACAAUACUCUGUUGAAACAAAAUUUUGAAAGAUGAUGAUAAAUUUGGAAAGUGCACCGAAC
Molecule: long non-coding RNA, 2825 nt
Filed under: Medicago truncatula (barrel medic)
Lineage: Eukaryota; Viridiplantae; Streptophyta; Magnoliopsida; Fabales; Fabaceae
Description: long non-coding RNA (MTRU_LNC006904)
Source: RNAcentral